CUUUGGUUUGACCAAAUUGGUCAACCUGAAAGAGAUAUAAUGGUCCAAAUUUUGAGAAAAUCUCAUGGACAUCCAUUCUUCCGCUCAAAACGAAGACAUUCGAGAUCUAGCAUCACCAUGAAGCAUGGUGGUGACCCGGGGGACAUUGAGGUCACCCGAACACGACUCCAACUUCCUGGAGGUCGUCCGGUCAAUUCCUCAAGCAAUUGAGGUGCACCGGCCUUUCCUCGAUGUCGCAUUGGCCCCCUGCAAUGCUCAUUGCUCGUUUUGAAAGCCUAUUCUUUAGCUAAAUAAGGAGUGAGACCCUCCUACGCUAAAUAACACAAAAGUGAACAUUCUAUUCUUACAUCAAACUAUGUAGAUAGAUACAACCAGGAAAGAUGCGAUCCAGCAUUAACAAAGAGAUAGGUCCUUGGGCAGGUGAUGCCGACACCGCAAGCUAAACCCUAUCAACUAUACAUUUGUUAGAUAGCGUAGUGAGAACAAGAGCUUAGACUAACCUUAUGGCGCAAGGUCUCUCACUAACACGCACUGGGUCGACUACGAUGAGAUAUGCUCUCGUAAUGGAUGUCAUUGAACUCCACUACUUUGUCAGUUUGGUAGUUUCCGACUAACUGAACAUGCAGCCUAUGAAUGUGGUCAUAAUAACAUCUCUAUGGGAUCAGAGAUAUACAUGAAGAUCUUAAACAGACUUCAUUCAUCUGAAUCAAGUGGCUCCAAACCACAGGAGCAUGCAUUUGCUAAAUGUAUUGAAACGCACAUGAACUCUACUUGAUUUGGAAGGGAUAUGGUGAAUUAUGCCUUUGCGUGUUUAUUCCGGAUUUACAUGGACUCUUGAUGGAUCAAGAGAUGCCAAUAUGUAUCAACAUCCGAAGAAAAAGAUCUUGGGAAGACACAGUCUCGAUAAGGCACUCGAUGACUGUAUUAUUGAUCAAUCGGCUUAGGCGCUCUAUAACUAGUGAGGCCUACAUAUAUACUCCCAUGAUUAGUCAAGGUCUUUGCUCUAAAGAGAGAUCCGUUGUUUUGUCUAAAGCAAGAUGACAAAUAUGUGUUAAGAGAUAGAGUUCCCAUCUAAGUACAAUUAGACGCAUCAAUGUACUCAACACAAUACGAAAGACUUGACAUCUCAUUCGCUAUGAAAAGUUGUAAAGCUAAGUGUAGCUAUGCGCCCACGCAACGCCAAUGUAAUGGCAGUAACUCCUUUUUCAAUACUUAAUGGUAUGAAAUGUUGAGGCUUAUUCUAUCCCUACAUAAGAAAGACACAUCAAAAGCGAAAUCAGAAUCUGCCAAGUUUUGUAGGUCAACUUCCACGAGACCUAUAGGAAAUCUGACUCACUGGAAAAUGGUGAAAUUGGUACCAUUGGAAAGGUCUAUGUGUCUACUUUCCAGGGACACCAACCAUUUGAUCAUACCUAUCAUANNN
Molecule: long non-coding RNA, 1423 nt
Filed under: Fragaria vesca (wild strawberry)
Lineage: Eukaryota; Viridiplantae; Streptophyta; Magnoliopsida; Rosales; Rosaceae
Description: long non-coding RNA (FVES_LNC000841)
Source: RNAcentral